CGAAUGCAAGUCGAACGAAGUGGCCCGAUGAAGUGAGCGAGCUUGCUCAAUCAUGAAUUCGGAUUCCCACUUAGUGGCGCAAGGGUGAGUAACACGUGGGUAAUCUACCUUCGAGUCUGGAAUAACAGUUAGAAAUGAUUGCUAAUGCCGGAUGAUAUCGAGAACGAUACGUCAUUCUUUAUUAAAAGGGGCCUUUAAAGCCUCGCUUGAAGAUGAGCCUGCGCCGUAUUAGCUAGUUGGUGGGGUAAUGGCCUACCAAGGCAACGAUGCGUAGCCGACCUGAGAGGGUGAUCGGCCACACUGGGACUGAGACACGGCCCAGACUCCUACGGGAGACAGCAGUUAGGAAUAUUCGUCAAUGGGGGAAACCCUGAACGAGCAAUGCCGCGUGAAGGAUGACGGUCCUUAAUGGAUUGUAAACUUCUGUUGUUAGGGAAGAACGAGCUGUAUAGGAAAUGAUAUAGCAGUGACGGUACCUUUCAAGAAAGCUCCGGCUAACUACGUGCCAGCAGCAGC
RNAcentral lists this ribosomal RNA (516 nucleotides) under uncultured bacterium. RNAcentral describes it as "bacterial SSU rRNA". It matches the Rfam family "Bacterial small subunit ribosomal RNA", at positions 52 to 518 of the family's 1533-position model. The record is from RNAcentral.